AGAGUUUGAUCCUGGCUCAGGAUGAACGCUAGCGGCAGGCUUAAUACAUGCAAGUCGAGGGGCAGCGGGGGUAGUAAUACCUGCCGGCGACCGGCAAACGGGUGCGGAACACGUACAGAACCUUCCUUUAAGUGGGGGAUAGCCCAGGGAAACUUGGAUUAAUACCCCUUAACAUUAUGAGAUGGCAUCAUUUUAUAAUUAAAGCUCCGGCGCUUAAAGAUGGCUGUGCGGCUGAUUAGGUAGUUGGCGGGGUAACAGCCCACCAAGCCUGCGAUCAGUAACUGGUGUGAGAGCACGACCAGUCACACGGGCACUGAGACACGGGCCCGACUCCUACGGGAGGCAGCAGUAAGGAAUAUUGGGCAAUGGACGCAAGUCUGACCCAGCCAUGCCGCGUGAAGGAUGACGGCCCUCUGGGUUGUAAACUUCUUUUAUCUGGGACGAAAAAGGGGAAUUCUUUCUCAACUGACGGUACCAGAUGAAUAAGCACCGGCUAACUCCGUGCCAGCAGCCGCGGUAAUACGGAGGGUGCAAGCGUUAUCCGGAUUCACUGGGUUUAAAGGGUGCGUAGGCGGGCAUGUAAGUCAGUGGUGAAAUCUCCGGGCUUAACCCGGAAACUGCCGUUGAUACUAUGUGUCUUGAAUAUCGUUGAGGUUUGCGGAAUAUGUCAUGUAGCGGUGAAAUGCUUAGAUAUGACAUAGAACACCAAUUGCGAAGGCAGCAGGCUAACCGAACAUUGACGCUGAGGCACGAAAGCGUGGGGAUCAAACAGGAUUAGAUACCCUAGUAGUCC
RNAcentral lists this ribosomal RNA (793 nucleotides) under uncultured bacterium. RNAcentral describes it as "bacterial SSU rRNA". It matches the Rfam family "Bacterial small subunit ribosomal RNA", at positions 8 to 796 of the family's 1533-position model. The record is from RNAcentral.